AGGAGCAGGAAGAUCACAGUGGCUUCAGUCUGCAAACUGAGUGGAGAGAUGUGCCCAUGCCCACAUGGACCUGCUGAAAGAGGACGUUUUGCUCAUUCCUUCUACUUCAUUUCUCCUCACAUUCUUCUCUGGCCUAGGAAAUUUGACUUUGUCUCCUGUAGUGUUUGAACAUCUGUAUCCUUUCCUGGGCUGCUGGGUAUCACUUCAUAUUCCCUGAACUGAUGAUGGGAUUCUAUCAGAGAUGUCAGAGGACAUGGAUUUGGCAGUGCUGUGCCGUAAUUCCAUCACAAUUCUUGAAGCUGCUGCUUGGGCUGCAAGUGAAGCCUCAUCAGGAUUGUUGCUGGAGAUGUAAAAGAAUGUUCACAUUGUGCUUCAGAUAUGUCUCAAACGAACAUCCAGCUUGCAAAAAGACAUAUUUGAGAAGCUGCUGGACAGAGAAAUAGAAAGAGAUCAAACAUUCCCUGAAGUGUGGUAGAAGGCAGGAAGAAUGACACUUGCUAAUUUGAAUUUCAGAAAACGCCUAAACUUCAUUCUGAUCUCCAGGUAAGUGUCUGUGAGCCUCUUGCCUUUGACACUUGUUAAAACUUAAUCACAUACUUUUUUGGUGCCAAGUUAUCUCAUGCAGACCAAAGAGAGAAGCAUGAGUGAGCACGUGCUGGUGUUUGUGGGGGAGGGAAUACUUCAUUCGUUUGUUCAGAUGAUAUGAAGUGAAAACAUUACUCUGGAAAACAUGAGAUCAGUUUAUAAAAAAGGAGGAGAGAUUAAGUGACAAACUGAAAAACUUAAACUACAGGUGAUCUGAUACAGUUGCUCUAUGCAAGAUCUCAAGAAGGAAACAUCUGGGAACAUGUAAAUUACUAAUUUAGAUUGAGCUUUAUUUUCAUCUAUUCAUUCUCUUCAUCUUCCCCCAAACUGAUUUUUAAAAAUACCCUCAGGCAUGUCAUGGGCUAUAUCAAAGUCUGUUCUUAAAAUGUAGCCAUCAAGACUAAAGGAGAAGGAAAAGAAUGAACAUUUAAUGUCAGUACUAACUACAUGGGUUCUCUCUCUGAAGAUUUGGAUAGCUAUAGAGAAGUUUGCAAUGUGUUACCUAUACUGCAAAACUCAGUAUUAAUAGCCUAAAGAGUGUGUGUGUGUACAAUGGCCAGUGACUCAAAAUGAAGACUUCUUUAGAUCCCUCAUCAUCACUGUUAGACUGAGGACUGCAAAAUAUUUUCUGUCCUUUCACUUAUAUUUAGAAAAGAAUUAAUUUCAGUCAGGACUGGGCUGCAUCAUUUGGGAGUAUUUGAGCCAUGGUUAUGGGGGAUCUGUUGCAUGAUUUCACUCAAAUGUUGUUUAUGCCUGAAGUCCUAUGCUGAGCUAACCACCCAUGUCGGUGCUGAUGCAAGAUGGACUCACUGUCCACUUUAGAUAUCAGACUGAAAUGUGAUUUCAUGCACCAAAAGUUGGAAGCCUAAUGUUAGUGUUCCUCUCCUCUAGAGUCACUGGAAAGGGGUGGGCACAUCUGAAGGAUGACUUGUGCAAACUCUAAAGGGGGAUGCCAUGAAUACAACCCAUUGUGACUGCUUGCAGACUAAGUACAUUUGGCAAACUAUGUCAGUUUUGUGGUGUGUUUAGUAAUAGCAAAGUCAGCUGGUAUAUUUUAUGCUUGUGUAAGAAUGGCUUAAUGAAUGGAAGGAAAAACAUUCCCAGGGUUCUUGGCAGGGAUACUACAUGGGAUGUUGGGCAUGGUUGCAGUGAGCAUUGUGCACAUGAUUGGUAAGGUGGGAAACCAGACCUUUAAAUACUGUGUCAUCCAGGUCCUGGAGAUCUCGUGUGACACUGCAGAACAAAGCAGGGGUGUGUGAUACCUUGAACAUAUUUUCCAUCAAAUAGCUACAUGCAGCAGCCCUGCUGCAGCCCGUGUAGUUUCUGGAACAGGAUGGUAUAUGAGCACUUAGCAAUUUUGAACUGUGUGAAAUAUUGCUAGUAGUCACAGUGACCUUGUCUAGGAUGUCCAAAAGCAAACUGGUACAAAAGGAGGGUACAAAUGAGGAUAGCUUGUUCUCCAUUCUUGGUGGACAGGGAAGAAAAAUGUGCUUAAACUGUAGCAGAGAAGAGUAGUGAGACAUAAGCCUUUCUGAGCAGCACCGAAAGAGGCUGCCUACAGGCUGUGAAAUUGUUUUCCUCAAGAAUCUCUAAUUUCGAAAAAUGCAUCUGUGGUGUGUGCCACGUGGGGCUGAGCACUGCUGGGCCUGUGGUGAGGGCUGGCAGGGAGAUGAUGGUAUCAACAGGUGAGAUUUGGGCUGCAGUGAACACCUGGGCCAUACCUGGGAGAUGGUUUGAUAAAAAGUGCAGCUUUGGCUGGGUUUUUCUAAGGCUGACACCAAGACUCCUCUGUAUCAGUGGUCUCAGCCUUCCCUGACAUGCAGCCUUGCUUUAUUAGCAGGGAGGAGUGAGGCAGAUUUUGUCAGCAGAGCAAACCAGGAGUUCUGCUCACUGCCAGAUAUUCAGAGAGCCAUCAGGAAGAGUUUGUUUACCAGAACACUUUUCUUCAGCAAUUUCCCACCUCAGAAUGAAGCAUGAUGGUUUUCACAUGUGUAGUGAGCACUAUUUAUAGCUGAGCAGCAAGAACUGAGUUUGCAGCAGAACUGACACAGUCAUUUGAUGCAAUGUAUGAUUUCUCCCCAACACCAGACAUGGUAAAAAACAAUCUGCAAUAUACAUUUUAUCUAGAAGCACAAUUAAUCACAGUGAUUAAUUCUCAUGAUCUCUUAGCCUAUUAUUAAGGUGUAGAAAUAUUGCUUGACAGACAAUGGGUUAAGGAAGAACAUUUCUGAAUCACUGUUUUACCUACUGUGGACACAUCACUUUGACUCUUUGUGCUUGGUGAAAUCACCAGGGAUUAUUCCAUCUUUCUGAAAAAGCUGAAUAAAGAUAGAUUCAGG
Long non-coding RNA from Cyanistes caeruleus (blue tit), 2924 nucleotides. The record is from Ensembl. NCBI's taxonomy places the organism in Eukaryota, Metazoa, Chordata, Aves, Passeriformes, Paridae.